AAAUGGAAGAGAUGUUGUCAUCUCUAUUCCAUAACAUUUAAAAAUAAAAACAAUUAAAUAAGAAAUAAGAGAAAAUAAUUAGGAAUAGGAAACUUACCCAUUUAUUUUUAUUAGGCUAUUACGAGUAAAUUAGAAUAAAGAGGGUAGGAAAAAGGGAAGAGAGCCAUUAUGCUCUUGGGCUGCCGAAACUAGAGAGAAGAAGAGAGAGAGAGAGAGGCGUGAGGUAGAGAGAGAAGGAGAAGAAGAAAGAAAAGAAGAAGAAGAAGAAGGGAUCAAUUUUAGGGCUUGUUGUGAAGUUUUCAUUUUUGCUUUGCUUGGACCUGAGGUAGCAAAUAUGUUUUCUCUUUGGCACGCGUGGUGAUGUGGGGAGUUCUAUCGUCAGGAUGUGUAUGGCGUGGGGGGCAUCCUAUGGACGAGAAACGAUCAAUUUAAAUGCAAUUUUUCUAAAAAUAAUGUUAUGUUUAUUUUGACAUUCUAAACUUAUCAGUGGGACUUGAACUUUGGUUAUUUUUAAGAACAUUGCAUGAAAACUAUUCAUUUUCUUUUUAAACUAUUGGGCCCAACUUGCAUGUUUUAGCAAGGCCCCACUGGGA
Molecule: long non-coding RNA, 593 nt
Organism: Humulus lupulus (European hop)
Lineage: Eukaryota; Viridiplantae; Streptophyta; Magnoliopsida; Rosales; Cannabaceae
Exons: 3
Source: RefSeq, a predicted model, not a curated record